RNAcentral lists this unclassified non-coding RNA (131 nucleotides) under uncultured Ascomycota. Its description in RNAcentral is "sequence contains ITS1". Lineage: Eukaryota; Fungi; Ascomycota. The record is from RNAcentral.
CAGAGUUGCAAAACUCCCAACCCUUUGUGAACGAACUUGCCAGUUGCCUCGGCGGGAAGCCCUCGGGCGGACCGCCGGCGGACUACAAACUCUUGUUUUUUAGUAUCUCUGAUUACUUAUUCAAUAAGUUA